AGAGUUUGAUCCUGGCUCAGAUUGAACGCUGGCGGCAUGCCUUACACAUGCAAGUCGAACGGCAUCUCGGGCUUCAGCCUGGCACGCGAUUGGCGAACGGUGUGAGUAAUACAUCGGAACGUGCCCUGUUGUGGGGGAUAACUAGUCAAAAGAUUAUCUAAUACCGCAUACAACCUGUUGGUGAAACCGGGUGACCGGUAACUGCCUCACGCAAUAGGAGCGGCCGAUGUCUGAUUAGCUAGUUGUUGGGGUAAAGGCCUACCAAAGCAACGAUCACUAUCUGGUCUGAAAGGACGAUCAACCCCUCUGGGACUGAGGCACGGCCCAUACUCCUACAGGAGGCAGCACUGGAUAAUUUUGUACAAUGGGGGCAACCCUGAUCCAACAAUGCCGCGUGUGUGAAGAAGGCCUUCAGGUUGUCAAGCACUUUUGUCCAGAAAGAAAUCGCGCUGGCUAAUACCUGCCGUGUAUGACGGUACCGGAUGAAUAAGCACCGGCUAACUACGUGCCAACAGCCGCGGUAAUACUUACGGUGCUAGCGUUAAUCUCAAUUACUGGACGUAAAGCGCGCCCAUGCGGUUUUGUAAGACAGGCGUGAAAUCCCCUGACUCAACCUGCGAAUGGCGCUUGUGACUGCAAGGCUAUAGUGCGUCACACGGGGGUAGAAUUCCACUUGUAGCAUUGAAAUGCAUACAGAUGUGCAGGAAUACCGAUGGCGAACGCAAUCCCCUGCGACGAGACUGACGCUCAUGCACGAUAGCGUGUAGAGCACACAGGAUUAGAUAGCCUGGGACUCCACUCCCUCAUCGAUGUCCACUACUUGUUGGGGAUUUCAUAAACGAUGUCAAUUAGUUGUUGGGGAUUCAUUUCCUCAGUAACGUAGAUAACGCGUGAAGUUGACCGCGUGGGGAGUACGGUCUCGAGAUUAAAACUCAAAGGAAUUGACGGGGCACCGCACAAGCGGUGGAUGAUGUGGAUUAAUUAGAUGCAACGCGAAAAACCUUACCUACCCUUGACAUGCCACUAACGAAGCAGAGAUGCAUCAGGUGCCCGAAGGGGAAAGUGGACACAGGUGCUGCAUGGCCGUCGUCAGCUCGUGUCGUGAGAUGUUGGGUUAAGUCCCGCAACGAGCGCAACCCUUGUCUCUAGUUGCUUCGCAAGGGCACUCUAGAGAGACUGCCGGUGACAAACCGGAGGAAGGUGGGGAUGACGUCAAGUCCUCAUGGCCCUUAUGGGUAGGGCUUCACACGUCAUACAAUGGUGCGUACAGAGGGUUGCCAACCCGCGAGGGGGAGCUAAUCCCAGAAAACGCAUCGUAGUCCGGAUCGUAGUCUGCAACUCGACUACGUGAAGUUGGAAUCGCUAGUAAUCGCGGAUCAGCAUGCCGCGGUGAAUACGUUCCCGGGUCUUGUACACACCGCCCGUCACACCAUGGGAGUGGGUUUUACCAGAAGUAGUUAGCCUAAACCGCAAGGGAGGGCGAUUCACCACGUGUCAGGGUUCAUGACUGGGGUGAAGUCGUAACAAGGUAA
This 1532-nucleotide ribosomal RNA is filed under the name uncultured bacterium. RNAcentral describes it as "bacterial SSU rRNA". It matches the Rfam family "Bacterial small subunit ribosomal RNA". The record is from RNAcentral.